CCUACGGGUGGCAGCAGUGAGGAAUAUUGGUCAAUGGACGAGAGUCUGAACCAGCCAAGUAGCGUGAAGGAUGACUGCCCUAUGGGUUGUAAACUUCUUUUAUAUGGGAAUAAAAUGUUCCACGUGUGGGAUUUUGUAUGUACCAUAUGAAUAAGGAUCGGCUAACUCCGUGCCAGCAGCCGCGGUAAUACGGAGGAUCCGAGCGUUAUCCGGAUUUAUUGGGUUUAAAGGGAGCGUAGGUGGAUUGUUAAGUCAGUUGUGAAAGUUUGCGGCUCAACCGUAAAAUUGCAGUUGAAACUGGCAGUCUUGAGUACAGUAGAGGUGGGCGGAUUUCGUGGUGUAGCGGUGAAAUGCUUAGAUAUCACGAAGAACUCCGAUUGCGAAGGCAGUUCACUGGACUGCAACUGACACUGAGGCUCGAAAGUGUGGGUAUCAAACAGGAUUAGAUACCCUUGUAGUC
This 460-nucleotide ribosomal RNA is filed under the name uncultured bacterium. Its description in RNAcentral is "partial 16S ribosomal RNA". It matches the Rfam family "Bacterial small subunit ribosomal RNA", at positions 338 to 795 of the family's 1533-position model. The record is from RNAcentral.